GCAUUAAUGGGGUAGAGGUAACCCAGAUCUUCAAAUUUGUCCGAUUUUGUGCCCAACUUUACGGACCGGCCGAGGGUUCAAAUCCCUCUUAAUGCA
This is a non-coding RNA of Mycena galopus ATCC 62051, 96 nucleotides long. The record is from the annotation of a GenBank genome assembly. Lineage: Eukaryota; Fungi; Basidiomycota; Agaricomycetes; Agaricales; Mycenaceae.